AGUGAACGCUGGCGGUAGGCCUAACACAUGCAAGUCGAACGGCAGCACAGUAAGAGCUUGCUCUUACGGGUGGCGAGUGGAGGACGGGUGAGGAAUACACCGGAAUCUACUUUUUCGUGGGGGAUAACGUAGGGAAACUUACGCUAAUACCGCAUACGACCUACGGGUGAAAGCAGGGGAUCUUCGGACCUUGCGCGAUUGAAUGAGCCGAUGUCGGAUUAGCUAGUUGGCGGGGUAAAGGCCCACCAAGGCGACGAUCCGUAGCUGGUCUGAGAGGAUGAUCAGCCACACUGGAACUGAGACACGGUCCAGACUCCUACGGGAGGCAGCAGUGGGGAAUAUUGGACAAUGGGCGCAAGCCUGAUCCAGCCAUACCGCGUGGGUGAAGAAGGCCUUCGGGUUGUAAAGCCCUUUUGUUGGGAAAGAAAAGCAGCAGGUUAAUACCCCGCUGUUCCGACGGUACCCAAAGAAUAAGCACCGGCUAACUUCGUG
RNAcentral lists this ribosomal RNA (492 nucleotides) under uncultured bacterium. RNAcentral's name for it is "partial 16S ribosomal RNA". It matches the Rfam family "Bacterial small subunit ribosomal RNA", at positions 29 to 507 of the family's 1533-position model. The record is from RNAcentral.